Molecule: non-coding RNA, 90 nt
Organism: Podarcis lilfordi (Lilford's wall lizard)
Lineage: Eukaryota; Metazoa; Chordata; Lepidosauria; Squamata; Lacertidae
Source: the annotation of a GenBank genome assembly
AAGCCUCCGGAGGCUUCAGGUUGCCUUCACUGAAGCCUGGAGAGCAAGACUCUCCUGGCUUCAGGGAUAGCCGCCUGAAGCCUCCGGAGC